GCUGGAGGUAUCAGAAGUGCGAAUGCUGACAUAAGUAACGAUAAAGCGGGUGAAAAGCCCGCUCGCCGGAAGACCAAGGGUUCCUGUCCAACGUUAAUCGGGGCAGGGUGAGUCGACCCCUAAGGCGAGGCCGAAAGGCGUAGUCGAUGGGAAACAGGUUAAUAUUCCUGUACUUGGUGUUACUGCGAAGGGGGGACGGAGAAGGCUAUGUUGGCCGGGCGACGGUUGUCCCGGUUUAAGCGUGUAGGCUGGUUUUCCAGGCAAAUCCGGAAAAUCAAGGCUGAGGCGUGAUGACGAGGCACUACGGUGCUGAAGCAACAAAUGCCCUGCUUCCAGGAAAAGCCUCUAAGCAUCAGGUAACAUCAAAUCGUACCCCAAACCGACACAGGUGGUCAGGUAGAGAAUACCAAGGCGCUUGAGAGAACUCGGGUGAAGGAACUAGGCAAAAUGGUGCCGUAACUUCGGGAGAAGGCACGCUGAUAUGUAGGUGAAGUCCCUCGCGGAUGGAGCUGAAAUCAGUCGAAGAUACCAGCUGGCUGCAACUGUUUAUUAAAAACACAGCACUGUGCAAACACGAAAGUGGACGUAUACGGUGUGACGCCUGCCCGGUGCCGGAAGGUUAAUUGAUGGGGUUAGCG
This 638-nucleotide ribosomal RNA is filed under the name Escherichia coli. RNAcentral describes it as "bacterial LSU rRNA". It matches the Rfam family "Bacterial large subunit ribosomal RNA", at positions 1272 to 1895 of the family's 2925-position model. The record is from RNAcentral. Lineage: Bacteria; Pseudomonadati; Pseudomonadota; Gammaproteobacteria; Enterobacterales; Enterobacteriaceae.